GGAAUAUUGCGCAAUGGCCGAAAGGCUGACGCAGCGACGCCGCGUGUGGGAGGAAGCCCUUCGGGGUGUAAACCACUGUCAGGGGGGACGAAUCGCGGACGGGCAAAUAGCCCGGACGUUUGACGGUACCUCCAAAGGAAGCACCGGCUAACUCCGUGCCCGCAGCCGCGGUAAGACGGAGGGUGCGAGCGUUGUUCGGAAUUACUGGGCGUAAAGCGCGGGCAGGUGGUUCUUUAAGUCCUUUGUGAAAUUCCGGGGCUCAACUCCGGAUGUGCAGAGGAUACUGGAGAACUGGAGACUGGUAGAGGCGAGCGGAAUUCCUGGUGUAGCGGUGGAAUGCGUAGAUAUCAGGAAGAACACCGGUGGCGAAGGCGGCUCGCUGGGCCAGUUCUGACACUCAUCCGCGAAAGCGUGGGGAGCAAAC
This 424-nucleotide ribosomal RNA is filed under the name uncultured bacterium. Its description in RNAcentral is "bacterial SSU rRNA". It matches the Rfam family "Bacterial small subunit ribosomal RNA", at positions 358 to 773 of the family's 1533-position model. The record is from RNAcentral.